RNAcentral lists this ribosomal RNA (417 nucleotides) under uncultured eukaryote. RNAcentral's name for it is "bacterial SSU rRNA". It matches the Rfam family "Eukaryotic small subunit ribosomal RNA", at positions 592 to 1013 of the family's 1831-position model. The record is from RNAcentral.
CAAUAGCGUAUAUUAAAGUUGUUGCGGUUAAAAAGCUCGUAGUUGGAUUUCUGCUGUGGGCAGCCGGUCCACACUAUGUGUGAGUAUCUGGUUCGACCACGGCAUCCUCCCGAAGAACGUUGGCGCGCUUCAUUGCGUGGCACGGUACUCGGGACUUUUACUUUGAGGAAAUUAGAGUGUUCACGGCAAGCAAGCGCGGGAAUACAUUAGCAUGGAAUAAUAAUAUAGGACCUUCGUUCUAUUUUGUUGGUUUCUAGAACUUAGGUAAUGAUUAAUAGGGACAAUUGGGGGCAUUCGUAUUAACGCGUCAGAGGUGGAAUUCUUGGAUUGCGUUACGACGAACUACUGCGAAAGCAUUUGCCAAAGAUGUUUUUCAUUGAUCAAGAACGAAAGUAUGGGGAUCGAAGAUGAUCAGAU